GGGGCUGUGGCUCAGUGGCAGAGCGCUUGCCUAGCAUGUGUGAAGCACUGGGUUCAAUCCUCAGCCCCA
Molecule: transfer RNA, 69 nt
Filed under: Marmota marmota marmota (Alpine marmot)
Lineage: Eukaryota; Metazoa; Chordata; Mammalia; Rodentia; Sciuridae
Also listed under: 1 other name
Rfam family: tRNA
About the family: Transfer RNA (tRNA) molecules are approximately 80 nucleotides in length. Their secondary structure includes four short double-helical elements and three loops (D, anti-codon, and T loops).
Source: Rfam by way of RNAcentral